GACAUUUCUCCACUCUCAUUGUUACUUAUAGGUUUCUCAGGCAGCUGCAGACUUGAAACAGUUCUGUCUGCAGAAUGCCCAACAUGACCCUCUGCUGACCGGAGUGUCUUCAAGUACAAAUCCCUUCAGACCCCAGAAAGUCUGCUCCUUUUUGUAAUCAUGUAUCUUAAGGUUUCUCAAACCACUUUUCAUGAACCAGCGACUGUUGAAGAGAAUUACAUCUGAAGUCUGUACAAAAGCCUGUAACACGUGCCAUAACACACACUCUCCUUCUUGUCAGUUCUUAACAUCUACCUCUCUGAAUCUUCAUGGAUUUCUGUCUCACAAGGUUGAACUAUUUUAUAUACACUGGCUGUAGCAUACAAUAAAACAGCAUACAAAUUUCUGGCCCUGUUAUUGUUAUGAAAUGUGCUGUAUAUUAAAUCUUUUCAAAACCAACUCUUAAGAUUUCAAUACUUUAUAUUGGCAAGGCUUCUGGAAGACUUAGUUUCUUUCAGUUUAGUUGCAGGAAUUACUUGAAAUAUUCCAAAUAUGGGUGGAGAGAUGGCUCAGUGGUCAGAGUACUUGCUGUGUGAUUAUGAUAGGAGUGCAGACCCCUGCCACCUACACACGAAGCUGUGCAUGGCCAUGCAUGCCUGUGAUCCUCGCACUUGGGGGAGAGGGUUUGUUGGCCACCAGCAUGGGUUAAAAUGGUAAGCUCUGGUGGUAGUGUAACAUGCACUUGAAAGGCAGAGGUGGGUGGAUCCCUGUGUACUGCAGGCCAGCCUGGUCUAUGGAAUGAGUUCCAAGACAGCCAGAGCUACACAGAGGAACCCUGUCUCAAAAAAACCAACACCACCUGAAUGAGGUAACUGGGUAAAAAAAAAGAGAAGGAAAUGGGAACUGAAAGUUUAGCUCCCGUGACCUGUAACUGUGCAAAGUCCUGCGCAUCUAGCCUUCGGGACCUGUAUUAAAUCAGGGUUACACACUAACUACCAACAAUACUUUUUCUGGCCUACAAGUUCAUUUGCGAAUGCAAAUUAGAAAGUUUGAAUUCCAACAAAAUCAUUCACAACUAAUUUGAUAUGACUGUAAGUUUUAGGACUUUAGACCCUCACCAAAAUUACAUUUAUAUUUACUACAACAGAGUAGAAAUUCAUGACACUUAGUCAUUUGUUCAAAUAUAAGAUUUAUAAAAUCAAUAGAUUCCAUUUGAAAGAUGUUUUGUAAAUAAUUUACCAAGUUUUUCCAGACAGGCCUGUCCAGCAAAAUUCAAUACCUCCCUCAGUACUUUAUAAAUGGAAUUUUCUUCUACUUGUAUCCAUUUCCCGUGGCUGAAAAUUAAAGGGGAGAAAGACAAAGAACAACUUAGCAUCAUUCUCAAGAGGGCAAACUGGGCUUUCAAAGUGAAAGUAUACAACAACAAAAAUCUAUCCAAUGACCACUACUCAAGAAGGAAAAAAGACGGAUUCAAUGCUACUCUAUGCUAACAACAAAUACUGAGUUCUGCAAUUUAAAGACUCACUCCAGGUUCAGUGUCAUGAAGAAGAGCCAAGUACUUUCUCACUGCCUGGACAUUCAGAGACCAUGAGAGAGAUACCUUGGGGUCAGGUGACACAUGUGUCAAUGUGAGACUCACAGAAGUUUCCCGUUCCUAGCAUCACACCACGACCAGCCACACAACAUGGCUUCACUCCUUCCUCCCAAGAAUGACAUGCUUCCUGACGACCCAAGAUGAAGCUACGCCAAAAUCUACCGUGUCCACUGGGCCAGUGCUUUCAUGCUGCCUCCUUUCCCACUGACCACUCCUCCCUCUGCCUCACGCGUCACACCUGGCUCAAGUGUCCCUGUGAAGCCCUCCUCCUGUCAUGUGGCUGCAACAGUGUCAUUAGUUAACGCCGGUUUGCCUGGACUCACUACAGCAGGCUGGCUCUUGUUAGAUCCUUCACCAAGGUUACAGCAGUGCUUCAGCUGUGACACUUGCCUGAUAAAUGUUUUCAUGAAUAAAAAUGUUACAGCAUCUUGGAUAGAGUUGCAAUGCUACGGAAAAAUGUCCAUUGUAAA
Cricetulus griseus (Chinese hamster) is the source of this 2043-nucleotide non-coding RNA. Lineage: Eukaryota; Metazoa; Chordata; Mammalia; Rodentia; Cricetidae. The record is from RefSeq and is a predicted model, not a curated record.